This 1913-nucleotide small RNA is filed under the name Pongo abelii (Sumatran orangutan). RNAcentral's name for it is "retained intron". The record is from RNAcentral. Lineage: Eukaryota; Metazoa; Chordata; Mammalia; Primates; Hominidae.
GGAGGCGGCGGGGCCGUCCCGGAACGGCUGCGGCCGGGCACCCCGGGAGUUAAUCCGAAAGCGCCGCAAGCCCCGCGGGCCGGCCGCACCGCACGUGUCACCGAGAAGCUGAUGUAGAGAGAGACAGAGAAAGAGACAGAAAGCAAGAGACCAGAGUCCCGGGAAAGUCCUGCCGCGCCUCGGGACAAUUAUAAAAAUGUGGCCCCCUGGGUCAGCCUCCCAGCCACCGCCCUCACCUGCCGCGGCCACAGGUCUGCAUCCAGCGGCUCGCCCAGUGUCCCUGCAGUGCCGGCUCAGCAUGUGUCCAGCGCGCAGCCUCCUCCUUGUGGCUACCCUGGUCCUCCUGGACCACCUCAGUUUGGCCAGAAACCUCCCUGUGGCCACCCCAGGCCCAGGAAUGUUCCCGUGCCUUCACCACUCCCAAAACCUGCUGAGGGCCGUCAGCAACAUGCUCCAGAAGGCCAGACAAACUCUAGAAUUCUACCCUUGCACUUCUGAAGAGAUUGAUCAUGAAGAUAUCACAAAAGAUCAAACCAGCACAGUGGAGGCCUGUUUACCAUUGGAAUUAACCAAGGUAUAAAGGAUUUUCCUCCCAGAGCACGCAGUGUGGUUAAAAACUGUGCAUCAAAUCUCACCUGCUUCUAAAAAUUCACGUUUCUGGUAUCCAUCAUUAUGGGAUUUUAACUGGUCCUACUUCAGAAGUUAGAUUUGGGAGAAAAAUUAUUUUUAAAAAAUGGUUUUUUUUUUUUGCAACAAUGUGAAUAUACUUAACACUUAAAAAUAGUUCAGAUGCUAAAUAUUAUGAUAUGUGUUUUUACCAUAAUAAAAAAAAUUUGACCUGAAAAGUCAGAAAGAUUUAUACUAAGAAUUAAUACUUUGAUAUAUGAUUUUUUCCCCUCUAGAAUGAGAGUUGCCUAAAUUCCAGAGAGACCUCUUUCAUAACUGUAAGUCAAAAAAUGAAAAGCUUCAGCCUGUAUGAUGAAUUCAUAUCACUGAUGUCUGAUUAUUUUUUCUUCUAGAAUGGGAGUUGCCUGGCCUCCAGAAAGACCUCUUUUAUGAUGGUAAGACACACAGCUCUUUCCUCAAAUGCAAUGGGGGGAAUGUUUUUAGCCCAUCUCAAUGGAUACUUCCCCAUCUUGUCAUGUCACCCAGGCCCUGUGCCUUAGUAGUAUUUAUGAAGACUUGAAGAUGUACCAGGUGGAGUUCAAGACCAUGAAUGCAAAGCUUCUGAUGGAUCCUAAGAGGCAGAUCUUUCUAGAUCAAAACAUGCUGGCAGUUAUUGAUGAGCUGAUGCAGGCCCUGAAUUUCAACAGUGAGACUGUGCCACAAAAAUCCUCCCUUGAAGAACCGGAUUUUUAUAAAACUAAAAUCAAGCUCUGCAUACUUCUUCAUGCUUUCAGAAUUCGGGCAGUGACUAUUGAUAGAGUGAUGAACUAUCUGAAUGCUUCCUAAAAAGCGAGGUCCCUCCAAACCAUUGUCAUUUUUAUAAAACUUUGAAAUGAGGAAACUUUGAUAGGAUGUGGAUUAAGAACUAGGGAGGGGGAAAGAGGGAUGGGACUAUUACAUCCACAUGAUACCUCUGAUCAAGUAUUUUUGACAUUUACUGUGGAUAAAUUGUUUUUAAGUUUUCAUGAAUGAAUUGCUAAGAAGGAAAAAUGUCCAUCCUGAAGGUGUUUUUCAUUCACUUUAAUAGAAGGGCAAAUAUUUAUAAGCUAUUUCUGUACCAAAGUGUUUGUAGAAACAAACAUGUAAGCAUAACUUAUUUUAAAAUAUUUAUUUAUAUAACUUUGUAAUCAUGAAAGCAUCUGAACUAACUUAUAUUUAUUUAUGUUAUAUUUAUUAAAUUAUUUAUCAAGUGUAUUUGAAAAAUAUUUUUUAAGUGUUCUAAAAAUAAAAGUAUUGAAUUAAAGUGA